RNAcentral lists this ribosomal RNA (451 nucleotides) under uncultured bacterium. RNAcentral describes it as "partial 16S ribosomal RNA". It matches the Rfam family "Bacterial small subunit ribosomal RNA", at positions 329 to 794 of the family's 1533-position model. The record is from RNAcentral.
GUCCAGACUCCUACGGGAGGCAGCAGUGGGGGAUAUUGCACAAUGGGCGAAAGCCUGAUGCAGCGACGCCGCGUGAGGGAAGACGGUUUUCGGAUUGUAAACCUCUGUCGAGGGGGACGAAGGAAGUGACGGUACCUACAGAGGAAGCACCGGCUAACUCCGUGCCAGCAGCCGCGGUAAUACGGAGGGUGCAAGCGUCGUCCGGAAUCAUUGGGCGUAAAGAGUUCGUAGGUGGCAUAUUAAGUCUGGUGUUAAAUGCAGAAGCUCAACUUCUGUUCGGCACUGGAUACUGGUAAGCUUGAAUGCGGUAGAGGUAAAGGGAAUUCCUGGUGUAGCGGUGAAAUGCGUAGAUAUCAGGAGGAACAUCGGUGGCGUAAGCGCUUUACUGGGCCGUAAUUGACACUGAGGAACGAAAGCCGGGGUAGCAAAUGGGAUUAGAUACCCUGGUAAA